RNAcentral lists this ribosomal RNA (393 nucleotides) under uncultured bacterium. RNAcentral's name for it is "partial 16S ribosomal RNA". It matches the Rfam family "Bacterial small subunit ribosomal RNA", at positions 523 to 918 of the family's 1533-position model. The record is from RNAcentral.
AUACGGAGGAUGCAAGCGUUAUCCGGAUUUAUUGGGUUUAAAGGGUGCGUAGGCGGUUUGUCAAGUCAGCGGUGAAACGCAAGGGCUUAACCCUUGACCUGCCGUUGAAACUGGCGGACUUGAAUGCGGAUGCUGUGGGAGGAAUGUGUGGUGUAGCGGUGAAAUGCAUAGAUAUCACACAGAACACCGAUUGCGAAGGCAUCUCACAAAUCCGUGAUUGACGCUGAGGCACGAAAGUGUGGGGAUCAAACAGGAUUAGAUACCCUGGUAGUCCACACUGUAAACGAUGAUGACUCGCUGUCGGCGAUAUACAGUCGGUGGCCAAGCGAAAGCGAUAAGUCAUCCACCUGGGGAGUACGACCGCAAGGUUGAAACUCAAAGGAAUUGACGGGG